RNAcentral lists this long non-coding RNA (592 nucleotides) under Arabidopsis lyrata. Its description in RNAcentral is "long non-coding RNA (ALYR_LNC000182)". The record is from RNAcentral. Lineage: Eukaryota; Viridiplantae; Streptophyta; Magnoliopsida; Brassicales; Brassicaceae.
AAAACACGGGUUUCGUACUAAUGGCCUCCGAUCGGUUCUGCAACCGAUCGGGAUAACCGAUCGCCACGUCUGAGUACUCAAAGAUGAGUACUUCUCGCCCAUCUCCGAAUCUAGCUCGUCCCGGGGCAAAUGUUCCUCGACUAUUCCUCAUAAAAUGGAUGGUUGAGCGACGAAAUUUCAAUAUGGGUCGAGGAAAUAUGUCAUUUGACCGAUGGAAAUGAAGCUAGGGCGUUUCGGGAAGGCUCUCGUCGGACUCCGACAAAUUGGCUCGACCAUCUUCAAAACUGUCUCGACCAAACAUCAUGAAAUACCCAUAAGAACGGUGAAUAUCGAAGAUGGUACAGGAAAUUAUGAGUUUGGGUCGAAGAAACUUGAAGAGGUCUUGAUCCGGCACAAGAAGGUGCUAAUACGAAGAAGAAUUCAACCUAGUCUAUCUCAAGGCUGACCCAAGAGGAAGAUCCAUGAAGAUGAACCCAAGAGGCAGACCAAAGAAGAAGACUAAGGUGUAACCCUUGAAGGCUACUCGGCAUACAACCCGAGUUAGAUAACCUAUGGAGAAGAAGAGGUGGAUGAAGACCAAGAAGAUACCAAC